Molecule: ribosomal RNA, 114 nt
Filed under: Erinaceus europaeus (western European hedgehog)
Lineage: Eukaryota; Metazoa; Chordata; Mammalia; Eulipotyphla; Erinaceidae
Source: RNAcentral
UCUACAGCCACACCACCAUGAACAUGCCUGAUCUUGCCUGGUCUUGGAAGCUAAGCAGGGUCAGGCCUGAUUAGCACUUGGAUGGGAGAAAGGGAGAGAGAGACACUUAUAGCA